RNAcentral lists this ribosomal RNA (253 nucleotides) under uncultured bacterium. Its description in RNAcentral is "partial 16S ribosomal RNA". It matches the Rfam family "Bacterial small subunit ribosomal RNA", at positions 524 to 776 of the family's 1533-position model. The record is from RNAcentral.
UACGAAGGGGGCUAGCGUUGCUCGGAAUCACUGGGCGUAAAGCGCACGUAGGCGGAUUCUUAAGUCGGUGGUGAAAUCCUGGAGCUCAACUCCAGAACUGCCUUUGAUACUGAAAGUCUUGAGUAUGGGAGAGGUGAGUGGAACUGCGAGUGUAGAGGUGAAAUUCGUAGAUAUUCGCAAGAACACCAGUGGCGAAGGCGGCUCACUGGCCCAUAACUGACGCUGAGGCACGAAAGCGUGGGGAGCAAACAGG